UUAUUAUUAUUAUUAUUUUUUUUACUUUUUACUGUUGUUUUUGAGAAAAAAACAUAAGACAAAUACAAACAAUGAUAGAACAAACAGCAGGAGGAGAAUCCAACAUUUGAGUAAAAUUUAUGUCUGGAGGGAUU
Sphaeramia orbicularis (orbiculate cardinalfish) is the source of this 134-nucleotide long non-coding RNA. RefSeq lists it as uncharacterized. The record is from RefSeq and is a predicted model, not a curated record. The transcript is spliced from 3 exons. Lineage: Eukaryota; Metazoa; Chordata; Actinopteri; Kurtiformes; Apogonidae.